GCCAAUUGCAAGAUUGCUUUGUAUUUUCCGUAGUGUUGAUUCAAUAAACAUCGUUUCUCUGCGUUAAUACUUUUGUUCCUUUUUACAACUUAAACCUUGUUUCGUGAUGUGAUCUUGUUUGCUUCAAUAUUGUCAUUAGAAUUUCGUUCUCUACAAUCCAGUUUGGAAUCAACGUGUGUUAUUGGAGCUUUCGCGCCUCAACAAGUGGUAUUAGAGCUAGGCUGUUGAUUUUCUAUGGACUGGUUGAGAUUUUUUUUCGAGAUGGCUAGGUUGAAGUAUGAUAUUCUGCAAUUAGAUUGCAAUACAAAGUUCUCGUUGUGACAAGUAAAAAUGAAGGUUGUCUUAGAGCAGUUGGAUUUGGAAGAUGCGUUGCUGGGAUUUGACAGGAUGCCAACCGAUUGGACAACGGAGGAGAAAUAACGAAAGAUUGGAAGGCUGUGUCGUUGAUUCGUCUUAAUUAUCCAACAAUAUUCUGCAGGAUAUCUUAAAGGAGAAAAUUGCCGCUACUUUGUGGUUGAGAUUGGAGCAAUUGUGUAUGACUAAGAGUCUUACAAGUAAACUGGCUUUUCGCAUGGUGGAAGGAGAGUCGAUGGAAGACCAUGUUGCCGUAUUCAAAGACAUAGUUGUAGAUCUGAAAACGUUGAAGGUUAAGUACGAUAAAGAGGAUCUUACCUUGAUCUUGUUGUGUUCGCUGCCUGGGUCUUAUGCGUCAUUCCGGGAUACUUUCUUGUAUAGUCUAGAUACUUUGACUAUAAAAGAUGUCUAUGAUGUUUUUCACUCAAAAGAGAAGAUGAAGUAUUUGACUGGAGUUAAAUUAAGGGAUGGGAAAGCUCUUGUGUCUCAAGGUGGUCGACGAAGAGACAGAUCAAGAGUUAGAUUUAGCAAUGUGAACUAUUACUAUUGUAAAAGGAAGGGACAUAUUCGAAAGGAUUGUGAUAUGUUGCAGGCUAAAGGUGAUUUAGUUGCUAAUCUUAGGAUGUAACCUUUGAAUUCAGACGAAAUCAAUGUAGUUGAAAAUUGUUCAGAUAGUGAAGAUAUAAUGUUGACCGUGGUAUCUGAUAUGGAAUCUAGGCCUGACGAUGAGUGGAUUCUUGAUUCAGCAUGUUAGCACCAUAUGUGUUUCGAUAGGAAUUUAUUUCAGACAUAUGAGGUUGUUCAGUUAGAUGGAAUUGUAAUGGGAAACAAUCAAUCUUGUCGUAUUGCUGGGAUCGGUUGAGUCAGAUUAAGACUACGAGGUGGAACAUUUAGAACAAUUGAUCAGAUUUGACAUAUUCCUGACUUGAAAACGAAUAUCAUUUCCCUGAGUACCUUGAAUGCAAAAGGGUAUAAAUUCUCUGAAAGAGGUGGAGUCUUGAAAGUCCGAAAGGGAGUCUAAAUUGUAUUGGAGGGAUGGAGGAGAUGCCAGUUUUACAUUUUGCAGAGGAGUGCAGAACAUGUUAGGAGACAUUUGGACAAAUUUAGUACUGUGGUGGAAGUUCAGUUUGGUACAAUAUCUCUUGGAUUGGGCUCUGAGUCGGUUCAUAACACUGCUAGGGAGAGCGUUGGUGAUUUCGCUUUGCCACCAAUUUUAGCGAGUAUACGGUAUUUAGUCUUUAGGGUAGGACCCAUCAAACGUAGGUACUGUAGUGUCAGCAAUGUCUAGGAUGCUUCUGAGAAAGUUGAAGGCGACAGUUUCAGCAAGGAGUCUUUUGAUCAAGCAUCUUGUUUGGUUCUUGCUACAGGGUGUGCUUCGGCUCUGUGUGAUCAACAUUAAUUUUUUGGUGGAAUUGGGAAUCCUGGGGAUUGGGUUCGGGUGUCGAUUGUGGAUGCUGGACAGAUGACGAGUGUUUAGUUUAUAUGUAGUGGUUACUGUGUUGAGGGAUUUAGCCAGUUAAUUUCGAUGUAGAUGAAUUUGAAUUUAAGAGUUUCGUUUGUAACAUCGAAAAUUGCGUUAAGAUGGAGAUUGUUAGGUUUGGUGACUCAAAUGUGUUAGGAUUAUUGUUGAUUUAGAAUUUGACCAAGUGGAAUCCUAGAAAUUGGUUAGGAGUCUUUUAAAGAUGCGUGUUAGACGUUUACUUGGAAAGGGAAUCUAAUUGCAUCCAACUAAAGGAAACAAAAUCCUAUUGAAAUUGGGUCUUCUAAUUGUAGUAUAUUUUUUUGCCUUUUAGGAUUCUUCUAGGAUUGACCUAUAAAUACAAAGCUCCUCUAUCAAUUUUAAAAAAUGUAACAAAUAGAAGUCAAUUGCUAGAUUGCUUUGUAUUCUCCAUAUUGUUGAUUCAAUAAGCAUCGUUCCUCUGGGUUAAUCAUUUUGUUCCUCUUUACAAUUUAAACAUUGUUUUGUGGUGUGAUCUUGUUUACUUCAAUAUCGUCAUUUCAAUUUUGUUCUCUAUAAUUCGGUUUGAAAUCAACGUGUGUUAUUGGAGCUUCCGGACCCCAACAUUUUUCUCUUGCAAUGGAAAUAUUGACGACUAGAGUACAUCCUUGCACCUCGGAAAUGUUAUAGGAUGAGGGCUAAUAUGAGCAUUUAGAGGAAUGGACUUUGAAGAUGGGAUUAUGGUGCACAAAGUUUUCAGUCAAAAAGUAAUGGCAUUUCUUCCUUCGGCUUUCAAUAGGAUGAGAUGUAUCUUGAAGAUAAACUCGUAUUGGAGCUGCAGUGUUUUGGUCUGUAUCUUAAGACCAUAGUAUGCUUCAACUUUGUAAGUGAAUAUAUAACUAAUUUUUUUUUAUUUUUUUAUUUUUUGUUGUUAAAGGACAAAAGUUUAUUCAUAAAUUCAGUAGCGCGGCACCAAAAAAGCACUUGUGUCGCACAUGAUGUAUUUAUAAUUGUGUAUUUAAUAGCGUUCAUGUAUUGAUAGUGUGCUGGAAAAGUUGUAGUUGUCCUUAGUUUGAUUGAUAGUUUUGUCUCAACUCAAAAAUUUUGGAUCAAUUUGUGUAAUCCAUCAAACUUUGGCCAAAAGAUCAAAUGUUGAAUCAAGGAAGCUAGGACAGCUUUUUUACAGCGACGAUUCUAAACUAAUUAAAUCCCUUAAAAUUUUCAAACUAAACCAGCAUCAUAUGAAUAUAUAUCUCAAAACUGUCACAAUCUUCUUGAUAAUCAUCCUCAAGAAAAUGAAACUAUAAUUAAAAAGUGCUCAUCCUUACUUAAAACGAAUGCAUAAUUUCCAGAAAUUUUUAAUGAAAUUGCCCUCACUCCGUCAAUGUGAUGGCCGAACAGCUCGAUCAAAUAUAUAAUUCUAAUUUUUGCAAAAAUGAAAAUUGUGUAGCGUUUUUCCUCAAACGGGCAAAAUAUCGCUAGUGAGGGAGAGAAAAACUUAGCGAGAUGCUGUGAAAUAAUUGCUUUUUCUGAAAUAAGCAAUGAUUUAACAAAUUGAACUUGGACAUGAGACCUUGCCCAUGAAGUAAAUCAUUGCACUUACGGUCCAACCAAUUGGAGAGUCAAUAGAGUCCUCUCCGGAACACCAAGACUACGUAUUUUGGAUGAAAACGUGAAUAGUGUAAAUAUAAAGUACUCUUAUAGUUUAGUUAGGACAUGGUAACCGUUCAUUCUACAUCCAUCUCAUACAAGGAAAUAAAUGUCGAUGAUGAGAUCCUUUAUAGAUAUAUCAAAUACAAUAGAGGUUCCAAAAAUAUUUGUUAAGAGCGUCUAAAGAUCACUCAAAAAUUACAGAGCUUACACCGACUUCUUGGUGUUUGGUGGGAGAAGAUAACCGGUGUUUCGACCAUUCUUCCUAGGCUUUGCGAUGAAGAGCUUUCAUAUGAAUAUAAGGCCUUCUUUCUCGGAUUAACUUUUCAGCAUUUUUCCAAUCUUCUGCCAAGCCAAGAGCUAAAAGCAGUGCACACAUCACUGCAACACUUGGGCCAUGACCUAAGAAUGUUUCAAGGCAAUGGUUAGGAACAACUGAAUUAUAACGUUUUAUUCCAGCAGACAUGGGCAAAUAGAAUCAAGAAAGAGCAAUUCGGUAUCAGUGUGCAGGCGAGAAUUACCAACUUAGUUUAUGGAUGAAGCCAUAUGAAGCAUUGUUUGAUAUGAAGAUGGGGAGGAAGGAAAAAGAAUGGGACAGGGACUGGGGUUUUAAAUAUCAAAGUGAAGGGCAUCUUACUUCUUCUCAAUUGUACGGUAAGAGGGAAUAGGCGGGGGAGGAGGGAGGGGAAACUAUCUAGAUAAGGAGUUCACCUGAUAAUCCAUGCUUCGUUCUUGAUUCUGAAAGUAAGAAUAGGUCUCCACUGAACUUCUCUGAGCCAAUUGUUGGUAUCCAAAUUCAGAAAAAUGGCAACCCAAAUCAAAUUUUCUCUUGUAGAGGAAACACUGAUAACAAUAGAAUCGCAGUGCAAGAGUACAUCCAUGCAACUCUGAACUGCUACAGAGAUUGCCAGUAGAAUGAGAUGUGUCUUAAAGACAAUAUCAUACAGAGUGUUAGUCUGUAUUCUGAAAUCAUACUAUACUACAGUUUGGGAAGAGAAUAAAAAUAACUGAAUUUUUCACUUUUUUCAGGACUUCUUUUCUUCUUCAUAAAUUGCCGUUCCUGUUUUACUACUCGUUUGGAAUUUUAUACAUUAUUUGUGGAAUAUAUAACUGAUGUGAAAUUUUUCAAUUUUAUUUCUAAAUAUUUUCAUACUACUUACACAAUAAAGGUACUCGUUUUGAUUGCAAGUAAGAGUUACUUUUCGAAUAACUUAAUUAUUUCUAACAUUAAACAACAAAAAAUAUUUAUUUUGCAAGCACAAAAUUGCACGUGAUCUAGUUGUAACUUUGUGUUUAAUAGAACAAAAAAUGCACAUGCAUCACAAGUGAUGUUUUCGCAACUGUGUUAUCGUGAAUGUAUUUAAAGUGUGAUGAAAAAGUUGAAAUAGUCCUCAAUUUGAUUAAUAUUUUUGAAUUUGUGGAAUUUGUCCAGCAGCUGCAGGAUUCCUCUCGGCUUGAAAGCCUAGAUACAGAAUGACAGACUCCACAUGACAUUAUCAAAGGCUUCUAUAAGCUCUUAUUGUGGAAGAUGGACUUGAAGAAUGCAAAGAAAAUGGAGUUGGAAGAUCAAGUUCACCUCAAAAUCCGUGCUUCGUUCUUGAUUCUGAAAUUGAAAAAUAGGUCUCCGCUGAACUUCUCUGAGCCAAUUGUUGGCAUCGAAACUCAGAAAAAUGGCAACCCAGAUCAAUUUUUCUCUUGCAAUGGAAAUAUUGACGACUAGAGUACAUCCUUGCAACUCUGAAAUGCUACAGAGUGAGGGCGAGUAUGAGCAUUUAGAGGGCUAGAAUUUGAAGAUGGGAUUGUGGUGCACAAAGUUUUCAGUCAAAAAGUAAUGGCAUUUCUUCCUUCGACUGUCAGUAGGAUGAGAUGUGUCUCGAAGACAAACUCGUUUUGGAGCUGAAGAGUUUUGGUCUAUAUCUUGAAACCAUAGUAUGCUUCAACUUUGUAAGUGAAUAUAUAACAGAUUUUUUAUUUUUAAAGGACAAAAGUUUGUUCAAAAAUUCAGCUGGACAACACUGAAACUCAGCCGCGCGGCACCAAAAAAGCACGUGUGUCGCACGUGAUGUAUUUGUAAUUGAUAGUGUGAUGAAAAAGUGGAAGUCGUAGUAAGCUUGAUUGAUAGUCUUAUCUCGUCUAGAAAAUUUUGGAUCUAAGAAGUUAGUAAAUCUUUUUCACAGCUACCAUUCCAAACUCAU
Molecule: long non-coding RNA, 5637 nt
Filed under: Olea europaea subsp. europaea
Lineage: Eukaryota; Viridiplantae; Streptophyta; Magnoliopsida; Lamiales; Oleaceae
Source: RNAcentral